This 495-nucleotide ribosomal RNA is filed under the name uncultured bacterium. RNAcentral's name for it is "partial 16S ribosomal RNA". It matches the Rfam family "Bacterial small subunit ribosomal RNA", at positions 28 to 507 of the family's 1533-position model. The record is from RNAcentral.
GACGAACGCUGGCGGCGUGCCUAAUACAUGCAAGUAGAACGCUGAAGGAGGAGCUUGCUUCUCUGGAUGAGUUGCGAACGGGUGAGUAACGCGUAGGUAACCUGCCUGGUAGCGGGGGAUAACUAUUGGAAACGAUAGCUAAUACCGCAUAAGAGUAGAUGUUGCAUGACAUUUGCUUAAAAGGUGCAAUUGCAUCACUACCAGAUGGACCUGCGUUGUAUUAGCUAGUUGGUGGGGUAACGGCUCACCAAGGCGACGAUACAUAGCCGACCUGAGAGGGGGAUCGGCCAAACUGGGACUGGGACACGGCCCAGACUCCUACGGGAGGGAGCAGUAGGGGAUCUUCGGCAAUGGACGGAAGUCUGAACGAGCAACGCCGCGUGAGUGAAGGAGGUUGUCGGGUCGUAAAGCUCUGUUGUAAGAGAAGAACGAGUGUGAGAGUGGAAAGUUCACACUGUGACGGUAUCUUACCAGAAAGGGACGGCUAACUACGUG